Colius striatus (speckled mousebird) is the source of this 1385-nucleotide long non-coding RNA. RefSeq lists it as uncharacterized. NCBI's taxonomy places the organism in Eukaryota, Metazoa, Chordata, Aves, Coliiformes, Coliidae. The record is from RefSeq and is a predicted model, not a curated record. The transcript is spliced from 4 exons.
UGCUAGAUGUCAGCCUCAAACAGGAGUACUUGAUGGUAUUUUACGUAUCAAAUGUUUCCAUUUUUAGUUUCUUUGCGUUAAUCUCUCACUAGGGUUUUUUUUUUUUUCUGCCAGUUUUAACCAUGUCUGUCAGAGGGGCAAGGAUUGCUGAUAAGUGGCCUAAAAGUUAGGAGAAAACUGACUACUGGGUAAUGAGAUUCAAAUACACCACAACUGAAGUUUGAAAUAGGGGUCAUUUGUUAUCGUGUUUCAUUUGGUCUGCAGUGACAAUCAUUUUGGAACCUCUUGUUUUUGUUAGAUAUUGGCAACGCUUUUCCUCUGGCCUCCAAGUCUCAGAGCUGGCCAUGAUUCUUCACAGAAGUUAAAAUGACGAGUUAAAGAGCUGAUCUAAUAAACAGUAAAUCAAUGGAAAGUCUGCCGCUGCAAUUUUGGGAACUGGAUUGGACAGGACAGCACGCCACUCUGAGUGUGAUAGAUGUGUUUCACAGUCAAGGGAAGGUCUGUUGGAUUAACCUAGGCAGAAUCCUACAGAGAGCUCCUGGAUUCAGGUGAACCUACAGUUUCUGCCUUUCAUUUUCCACCUUUCUACCUGAAGAGUGAAACAGCCUUGUGUCCCUGACCUUGCAGUGUGUUCCAGAAAGCCACUAGAAGGAGGCAGCCUCUACCUUGCAGAACAGUCAUUGCAAUUGUGUCCUAGUGUGGUAAAGGUACUUCUGCCUGUUCCACUGCCUAACACUCUGUUAGUCUUCAGAGUGCAAAAUUACAUGGUAUUAAUUAGUAUCAUUUGCAUAUUCAAAGUAUGUCACAGAUAUUAAGAAAUUAGUAUCCCUCUUACUAUUAACAUCACAGGUUCUAUCUCAGCCUGCUAGCAUCUGGGGAAAACUGAGGCAUGGAGAAAUUAAAACGUUUCAAAAGAUCUUCUGCUUUCUGGAACAUGUGAGGCAUUUGGUUUCAAAGACUUGGCAUGUUUGAAGUUUUAAGCUGAAAUUAUAUUCAAGGCAUGUGAAUACUCAGCCCUUUUAAAGGCAUGGCUACUUAGGCACAAAAAAAUAUUAGACAUUACUUCAAAACACAAGUGACAUCACCCGUCCUGCCCCUUCCCACCCAGCGUGGGCUCAUGUGCCCCAUUAGUGGAAGAGAGAAAACCGGAAUUCAAGAUUUCACAACUCUUACACCUAUUCAGCCAUAAAACCUAUUUAAAGGAGUCGUUAUCUAGGAAUGAUACUUUCAGUUCCAUUCCUGAUCAUGCUGUAGCCAUCUGCCAAAGCAGUGACAACCACCAAGAUCACAAUAAGACUUCUAAAAAGAGAACAGCAUCUCUAUCUAGUGGUCAGUACGUGGUCUUACCAGCCCGAGUUGAGUGGCUGGUGACAGCUGGAGGAACC